GAUGAACGCUGGCGGCGUGCCUAAUACAUGCAAGUCGAACGCUGGAGAUCUAGCUUGCUAGAUCGAAGGAGUGGCGAACGGGUGAGUAAUACAUAAGCAACCUACCCACGAAGACUGGGAUAAUCUCUGGAAACGGGGACUAAUACCGGAUAGGUAAUCGGAAGGCAUCUUCUGGUUAUUAAAGGUUAAAAACACUGGUGGAUGGGCUUAUGGCGCAUUAGUUAGUUGGUGAGGUAACGGCCCACCAAGACGAUGAUGCGUAGCCGGCCUGAGAGGGUGAACGGCCACAUUGGGACUGAGACACGGCCCAGACUCCUACGGGAGGCAGCAGUAGGGAAUUUUCGGCAAUGGGGGCAACCCUGACCGAGCAACGCCGCGUGAGUGAAGACGGCCUUCGGGUUGUAAAGCUCUGUUGCAAGGGAAGAACGGUAGAUAGAGAAUAUCUAAGUGACGGUACCUUACCAGAAAGCCACGGCUAACUACGUG
Molecule: ribosomal RNA, 486 nt
Filed under: uncultured bacterium
Lineage: Bacteria
Description: partial 16S ribosomal RNA
Rfam family: Bacterial small subunit ribosomal RNA
Source: RNAcentral